AAAUCUAAGCACCUAAAGUUUAAACCUGAUUAUAUGCGUAAAAAAUCUUUUGUACUUAUAAUUAUUUAAAGGGGAAACUUCAAAUACCACUCCUGUGGUUUUACACUUUCUCACUUUAAUGUCCUGUGGUUUAAAGUGUAUUAAUUUAGUGCCAUGUGAUUUUCUUUUUAUCUUUUUACGUACUAUUGAUUCCACUAUUUUUUUUUCGUUAAAUUAGUGACAAAGUUAAAACUAAAGGAUACUAAAGUGAAUGUUCGAUAAAUCUAGGUGAGGUAUCUGAAGUUUUUUGUAUAUAAUUUAACGAAAUAUUAACGGAAAAGCUGGCGAAAAGAUAAAAAUAAAACCACAGGACGCUAACUUGAUACACUUUAAACCACAAGGCACUAAAGUGAGAAAGUGUGAAACCACAUGAAUGAUAUUUGAAGUUUACCCUUAUUUGAAUGCAGAACAAUUCUUAGCAAGCUGAGCAUGGUUUCAAUGAGAAAAAUUGUUUUGUAAGCUG
RNAcentral lists this long non-coding RNA (502 nucleotides) under Ananas comosus (pineapple). RNAcentral describes it as "long non-coding RNA (ACOM_LNC025271)". The record is from RNAcentral. Lineage: Eukaryota; Viridiplantae; Streptophyta; Magnoliopsida; Poales; Bromeliaceae.